RNAcentral lists this ribosomal RNA (492 nucleotides) under uncultured bacterium. Its description in RNAcentral is "partial 16S ribosomal RNA". It matches the Rfam family "Bacterial small subunit ribosomal RNA", at positions 29 to 507 of the family's 1533-position model. The record is from RNAcentral.
AGUGAACGCUGGCGGUAGGCCUAACACAUGCAAGUCGAACGGCAGCACAGUAAGAGCUUGCUCUUACGGGUGGCGAGUGGCGGACGGGUGAGGAAUACAUCGGAAUCUACUUUUUCGUGGGGGUUAACGUAGGGAAACCUACGCUAAUACCGCAUACGACCUACGGGUGAAAGCAGGGGAUCUUCGGACCUUGCGCGAUUGAAUGAGCCGCUGUCGGAUUAGCUAGUUGGCGGGGUAAAGGCCCACCAAGGCGACGAUCCGUAGCUGGUCUGAGAGGAUGAUCGGCCACACUGGAACUGGGACACGGUCCAGACUCCUACGGGAGGCAGCAGUGGGGAAUAUGGGACAAUGGGCGCAAGCCUGAUCCAGCCGUACCGCGUGGGUGAAGAAGGCCUUCGGGUUGGAAAGCCCGUUUGUUGGGUAAGAAAAGCAGCAGGUUAAUACCCCGCUGUUCUGACGGUACCCAAUGAAUAAGCACCGGCUAACUUCGUG